UUACCUGCCAAUUCCAACCCACCAAUCGGCUCUCACCUAUCUUAUAACAGCUACCGUUCAGUGAGGGUGAAAGCUAACCCGUGCUUCCUCCAAGACGGGAGAUAGAGUGUAUCAUCCCGCCCUCCGUCCCUGAGACCACGGCCAAUUUUGCUCUCUUGGACUCCGGCAACGGAUGACUGUCGCAUCAUCAGGAUUCGAACUCUCUGGAAAACAGCAACCAUCCAAGUGCCUGGACAACGUGGGGGAAACAUCUCAAUGUGUGCGGCUAUAUGUGAAGAUGGUGUGGUAGGCCGUAGACCUACGUUCUUGGAUUAUACAACACUGAACACCAGAAAGCUUUUCUAAAUGAACUUGAGUAGGCCUGUCAGUGUGAAGAAAGACAUCAGAGGAAUUCUUCUCUACUUGGAGGUGGAAGGUGUAUGAUCGCCAUCCCUAUGAGCAUGUCGUCCUCCUUCAAGCCAUGGAUGAGGCUUGCAAUGACAUAACUGCAGAGAAAUGUCAAGCGUGGACUCGUCAUGCCAGAAGGUUUUUCCCAUGGUGCAUGAACAACGAGGAUCUUCAGUGUGUUGAUGAAAAUUUUUGACCAAAUGUUGAAGACAGGCUUGAUGUUAAUUAAUCUGAGAUUAUCUCCAUUUACAGUAAAUUGUUUAUGUUUUUUUGUUUCACAAUGCAACCAGAGUAUUGGUUAAAAAAAAAAAAAUACUGUAAAAUAAAAUAUUUUUCCUGCAUAAUUGACAUUUGAUGUGUAUUUUGAUCAUAUUUUACUUGUAUAAAUAAAAUAUCAAUUUUAUUAUGGCUUUUGUCAGUUUGCUUGGAUGAUGUAAGUGUAAUAUCUAUUGUGAUGACUGUGUACAGUAAAGUAACAGUCAUUCAGAACCAAGGGUGAUUUAAAAUGUGCAUCUUGCAUUGUUUUCUGGUGAAUUAACUGACUGUUAAAAGUGCUAAAUUAAAAUAAGAUCAUACGGUUGCGUUUUGGUGAUUACAAUAAAUGUUCUCAUUACAUGUUACAAUAAUCUUGUGUUUUGAAACAAUGAUUUAAUGGAAAGAAAAUAUGUAACUGAAAUCAGAUCAGGUUUGAAUCAGUCAUUAUUGCAUUAGAACGACUAACUGUGAAACAAGUGUGAUCAAUUUGGAGUCUUGUACUAAGAGUUUUGAAAAAUUACCCCUUACUUGUGAAAAUAGUUCGAAAG
Molecule: long non-coding RNA, 1190 nt
Organism: Ictalurus punctatus (channel catfish)
Lineage: Eukaryota; Metazoa; Chordata; Actinopteri; Siluriformes; Ictaluridae
Source: Ensembl